UCUUUAAUUGAUCUGACGAGCUUGCUCUGAUUUGAUUUCCCCUGACAAAGAGUGGCGAACGGGUGAGUAACACGUGGGUAACCUACCUCUUAGCAGGGGAUAACAUUUGGAAACAAGUGCUAAUACCGUAUAAUACCAACAACCGCAUGGUUGUUGGUUGCAAGAUGGUUCUGCUAUCACUAAGAGAUGGACCCGCGGUGCAUUAGCUAGUUGGUAAGGUAACGGCGUACCAAGGCAAUGAUGCAUAGCCGAGUUGAGAGACUGAUCGGCCACAAUGGGACUGAGACACGGCCCAUACUCCUACGGGAGGCAGCAGUAGGGAAUCUUCCACAAUGGGCGCAAGCCUGAUGGAGCAACGCCGCGUGUGUGAUGAAGGGUUUCGGCUCGUAAAACACUGUUAUAAGAGAAGAACGGCACUGAGAGUAACUGUUCAGUGUGUGACGGUAUCUUACCAGAAAGGAACGGCUAAAUACGUGCCAGCAGCCGCGGUAAUACGUAUGUUCCAAGCGUUAUCCGGAUUUAUUGGGCGUAAAGCGAGCGCAGACGGUUAUUUAAGUCUGAAGUGAAAGCCCUCAGCUCAACUGAGGAAUGGCUUUGGAAACUGGAUGACUUGAGUGCAGUAGAGGAAAGUGGAACUCCAUGUGUAGCGGUGAAAUGCGUAGAUAUAUGGAAGAACACCAGUGGCGAAGGCGGCUUUCUGGACUGUAACUGACGUUGAGGCUCGAAAGUGUGGGUAGCAAACAGGAUUAGAUACCCUGGUAGU
Molecule: ribosomal RNA, 763 nt
Filed under: uncultured bacterium
Lineage: Bacteria
Description: bacterial SSU rRNA
Rfam family: Bacterial small subunit ribosomal RNA
Source: RNAcentral